GUUCUCACUUUGACAGCACAUGAAUUAAAACUGGAAUGAUACAGAGAUGAUUAGCAUGGCCCCUACACGUGGAUGAUAUACAAGUUUGUGAAGUGUGACAUAUUUUA
RNAcentral lists this small nuclear RNA (107 nucleotides) under Procavia capensis (Cape rock hyrax). The record is from RNAcentral. Lineage: Eukaryota; Metazoa; Chordata; Mammalia; Hyracoidea; Procaviidae.